GGCUUGUCUGUCAUGGCGGACAGACACACUUUGUCUGAGCUCCAGCACACAAUCUCAAGUUUAUAGCUAUAUUGGCAGAUUACUCCCCCAUCAUUGACUCCAGCUGCCCUGCUGGUGACCCUAAACAGAUUCCGAAGCGUGUUCUGAUGUUUUUGGGUGUCCACGCUACCGGAGACCCGUGAGCAGUUUUGGCGGCUUAGUGGACCUAGGAGAGUGGAGAAGCGGCCGAUCUCCACCCUGGACCCGUGUGGCCGAUUAAUGCCCUGUACCCCCCCCUUGGACCGGUGGGGGUGAUCCCGGUCUAGGCUUCCUAGUUACUCUGAGGGCGCACGGCACACCCGCGAUACAAGCAACAGGCCCUCAAACAUACUCAAUAUGGCGGGUUCCAUGUGCGCCCCCGGCCAAUACAGAGGCUUCUCAGAUGUCCUGCACCAUCUGGAUGGGCUAUUUGAGUCCUUUCAGGCAAGGCUGAAGGCACACUUGCGACCCACUAUACCAAAGGACCUGACAACUGCUACAAGUCCACGUACAGCCACUGGGCGAAAAGAGAGCAGUCAGUGUCACACCGAGGACGGAUGGUGUGUAGAAGGAGAGCAAGACCCACGGUGAAGCCGGCAGCAGAAACUGGAACUUGGGACCGCCUGCUGAUCUCACAGGAUUUACCUGACUGCCACAAACCACCACUUAAGGGAGUUAUCAGACUUCCAUCUGGGACUCCUGUACGAGGUCUACAUUUGGCAACCACAAGGCAUAGGCUCAUCUCAUACCCAAACCAGGGUCUACCUACCUUUAACAUCACAUCCCAACCGUGAUGCUGCUGAAUUCGCGAUUUAAACGGUUGCCUCGUUUCCUUUCAUGUACUUCGUAAUGCUUUUACAUAUAGUCUGUCUGGGGGGCCUCCUGAGGGUUCUUACUCGUUGCUAAACUGUGACAUUCUUACAUUAACUACUAUUAACUCUACAGCUUCUACAGCUGUAAAGAACCUGCUUGCCUAUUAUCACAAUGUUUCACUCAAACUGCACGUCUUUCUUGACGUUUUUAUUUUUUCCUUUAGUUAAUUUUAAAAAUGUGCUGCUUCUUCUAUACACUAUAAUUGUCAGUGUAUACUAUCCUAUUUUUGUCAUUGACAAGCACAUC
Pelobates cultripes (western spadefoot toad) is the source of this 1137-nucleotide non-coding RNA. Lineage: Eukaryota; Metazoa; Chordata; Amphibia; Anura; Pelobatidae. The record is from the annotation of a GenBank genome assembly.